GGAUCCGUAACUCAGUUGGCUAGAGUGACGGGCUUUUAACCCGCUAGUCGGGGGUUCAAAUCCCUCCGGAUCCG
RNAcentral lists this transfer RNA (74 nucleotides) under Promethearchaeota archaeon. RNAcentral describes it as "Candidatus Lokiarchaeota archaeon (marine sediment metagenome) tRNA-Lys". It matches the Rfam family "tRNA". From Rfam's summary of the family: Transfer RNA (tRNA) molecules are approximately 80 nucleotides in length. Their secondary structure includes four short double-helical elements and three loops (D, anti-codon, and T loops). Further hydrogen bonds mediate the characteristic L-shaped molecular structure. tRNAs have two regions of fundamental functional importance: the anti-codon, which is responsible for specific mRNA codon recognition, and the 3' end, to which the tRNAs corresponding amino acid is attached (by aminoacyl-tRNA synthetases). tRNAs cope with the degeneracy of the genetic code in two manners: having more than one tRNA (with a specific anti-codon) for a particular amino acid; and 'wobble' base-pairing, i.e. permitting non-standard base-pairing at the 3rd anti-codon position. The record is from RNAcentral. Lineage: Archaea; Promethearchaeati; Promethearchaeota.